GCUUACGGCACACCUCCCUGAGCACCGCCCGAUCUCGUCUGAUCUCGGAAGCUAAGCAGGGUCGGGCCCGGUUAGUACUUGGAUGGGAGACCGCCUGGGAAUACCAGGUGCUGUAAGCC
This 119-nucleotide ribosomal RNA is filed under the name Esox lucius (northern pike). The record is from RNAcentral. Lineage: Eukaryota; Metazoa; Chordata; Actinopteri; Esociformes; Esocidae.